Molecule: transfer RNA, 86 nt
Rfam family: tRNA
About the family: Transfer RNA (tRNA) molecules are approximately 80 nucleotides in length. Their secondary structure includes four short double-helical elements and three loops (D, anti-codon, and T loops). Further hydrogen bonds mediate the characteristic L-shaped molecular structure. tRNAs have two regions of fundamental functional importance: the anti-codon, which is responsible for specific mRNA codon recognition, and the 3' end, to which the tRNAs corresponding amino acid is attached (by aminoacyl-tRNA synthetases). tRNAs cope with the degeneracy of the genetic code in two manners: having more than one tRNA (with a specific anti-codon) for a particular amino acid; and 'wobble' base-pairing, i.e. permitting non-standard base-pairing at the 3rd anti-codon position.
Source: Rfam
GGGGCUAUGGCUCAAUGGUAGAGCUUUCGACUCCAGAAGGAUUUCGUGCAAUCGAAGGGUUGCAGGUUCGAUUCCUGUUGGCCUCA